RNAcentral lists this ribosomal RNA (497 nucleotides) under uncultured bacterium. RNAcentral describes it as "partial 16S ribosomal RNA". It matches the Rfam family "Bacterial small subunit ribosomal RNA", at positions 28 to 507 of the family's 1533-position model. The record is from RNAcentral.
GACGAACGCUGGCGGCGUGCCUAAUACAUGCAAGUUGAGCGCUGAAGGUUGGUACUUGUACCAACUGGAUGAGCAGCGCACGGGUGAGUAACGCGUGGGGAAUCUGCCUUUGAGCGGGGGACAACAUUUGGAAACGAAUGCUAAUACCGCAUAAAAACUUUAAACACAAGUUUUAAGUUUGAAAGAUGCAAUUGCAUCACUCAAAGAUGAUCCCGCGUUGUAUUAGCUAGUUGGUGAGGUAAAGGCUCACCAAGGCGAUGAUACAUAGCCGACCUGAGAGGGUGAUCGGCCAAAUUGGGACGGGGACAAGGCCCAAAAUGCUACGGGAGGCAGCAGGAGGGAAACGUCGGCAAAGGACGAAAGACAGACCGAGCAACGCCGAGGGAGGGAAGAAGGUUUUCGGGUCGUAAAACUCUGUUGGUAGGGAAGAACGUGGGUGAGAGUGGAAAGCGCAUCAAGUGACGGUAACUACACAGAAAGGGACGGCUAACUACGUG